This is a non-coding RNA of Pogona vitticeps (central bearded dragon), 321 nucleotides long. The record is from RefSeq and is a predicted model, not a curated record. Lineage: Eukaryota; Metazoa; Chordata; Lepidosauria; Squamata; Agamidae.
CUGAAAUGGAGGCAACGGUGGGCUUCGGCAGUUGCGUAGAAGAGUGUAGCUGCCCUGCAAAAUUAUUAAAAUCUAUUAUCCUUCAGCUGGGAUGCAGAGGAAAAAGGAUUCUCUUCCAUCGAAGACUGUGGAUUUUAUUAUCAUAAUGCAGGUAUUCCAGAGUACCUUUCCCUAAGAACCUCAACCCACACCACCUGAUCCUCGCAGGCCAUGCUGUUAUGCAUUGCCACAUUGAGACAGGCCAAGAAGACAUCUACAAGAAAUCAAGCCACCUUGGAUGUGGCCCCAUCCUUAUAGAAUGGGCUCCCAAUAAAACUGUGC